This 1223-nucleotide ribosomal RNA is filed under the name Phrynixus sp. NZAC 03037762. RNAcentral's name for it is "partial large subunit ribosomal RNA". It matches the Rfam family "Eukaryotic large subunit ribosomal RNA", at positions 115 to 1077 of the family's 3401-position model. The record is from RNAcentral. Lineage: Eukaryota; Metazoa; Arthropoda; Insecta; Coleoptera; Curculionidae.
CGAAUCCCGCGGCCGAUACCGGGCGCCGGGAAAUGUGGUGUUUGGGAGGGUCCAUUAUCCCGAGAUCAUGCGGUGCGUCCAAGUCCUUCUUGAACGGGGCCACAGCCCACAGAGGGUGCCAGGCCCGUAGUGACUGCUGCUGAUCGCGGGAGGAUCUCUCCUCAGAGUCGGGUUGCUUGAGAGUGCAGCCCUAAGUGGGUGGUAAACUCCAUCUAAGGCUAAAUAUGACCACGAGACCGAUAGCGAACAAGUACCGUGAGGGAAAGUUGAAAAGCACUUUGAAGAGAGAGUUCAAGAGUACGUGAAACCGUUUAGGGGUAAACCUGAGAAACCCGAAAGGUCGAAGGGAGAAAUUCAUUCGCGUUUCGCUGUCGGCGUGAGACGGGAUUGUGUGACGGAGAACGUGUUCGCACGUUUUCCGCGCCUUCCGUUUUUCGAACCGAUGGUGAACGCGUGCACUUUUCUCCUGGUAGAACGUCGCGAUCCGUUGGGUGUCGGUCUACGGCUCGUGGUGGAGCCCGACAGUACGGCUUGCCGUUACGGUCGGACCCACGUGUCCUGGCUGACUCGCUCGACGGUAUGCGAAAGGUUUAAGGCCGCUCUCGGAGCGUUUGACUCGUGGCAAGCGCGUCAGAUGUGUGUCGGCGACCGGACCUAGUGCCGGUUCUGACCUCUGAUGACUGUUGGCUGCGAAGUUCUCGAACAGACCUCUAACCGAUCUGCGACGCUAUAGCUUUGGGUACUUUCAGGACCCGUCUUGAAACACGGACCAAGGAGUCUAGCAUGUGCGCGAGUCAUUGGGAAACUCUAAACCUAAAGGCGCAAUGAAAGUAAAGGUCCGCCUUGCGCGGACUUAGGGAAGACGAGCGGUUUACCCUUAAAGUAGCCGCUCCGCAUUCCCGGGGCGUCUCAUUCUCAUUGCGAGAAGAGGCGCACCAAGAGCGUACACGCUGGGACCCGAAAGAUGGUGAACUAUGCCUGGUCAGGACGAAGUCAGGGGAAACCCUGAUGGAGGUCCGUAGCGAUUCUGACGUGCAAAUCGAUCGUCGGAACUGGGUAUAGGGGCGAAAGACUAAUCGAACCAUCUAGUAGCUGGUUCCCUCCGAAGUUUCCCUCAGGAUAGCUGGCGCUCGUUUCUAACGAGUCUCAUCCGGUAAAGCGAAUGAUUAGAGGCAUUGGGGUCGAAACGACCUCAACCUAUUCUCAAACUUUAAAUGGGUGAG